GCGGGCUUAGUCUAGCCUGGACUAGGACACUGGCCUGCCACGCCAGUGACCCGGGUUCAAAUCCCGGAGCCCGCACCA
RNAcentral lists this transfer RNA (78 nucleotides) under Candidatus Freyarchaeota archaeon. Its description in RNAcentral is "tRNA-Gly". It matches the Rfam family "tRNA". From Rfam's summary of the family: Transfer RNA (tRNA) molecules are approximately 80 nucleotides in length. The record is from RNAcentral. Lineage: Archaea; Promethearchaeati; Candidatus Freyarchaeota.